Molecule: ribosomal RNA, 1404 nt
Filed under: Klebsiella pneumoniae
Lineage: Bacteria; Pseudomonadati; Pseudomonadota; Gammaproteobacteria; Enterobacterales; Enterobacteriaceae
Description: bacterial SSU rRNA
Rfam family: Bacterial small subunit ribosomal RNA
Source: RNAcentral
UGCAGUCGAGCGGUAGCACAGAGAGCUUGCUCUCGGGUGACGAGCGGCGGACGGGUGAGUAAUGUCUGGGAAACUGCCUGAUGGAGGGGGAUAACUACUGGAAACGGUAGCUAAUACCGCAUAACGUCGCAAGACCAAAGUGGGGGACCUUCGGGCCUCAUGCCAUCAGAUGUGCCCAGAUGGGAUUAGCUAGUAGGUGGGGUAACGGCUCACCUAGGCGACGAUCCCUAGCUGGUCUGAGAGGAUGACCAGCCACACUGGAACUGAGACACGGUCCAGACUCCUACGGGAGGCAGCAGUGGGGAAUAUUGCACAAUGGGCGCAAGCCUGAUGCAGCCAUGCCGCGUGUGUGAAGAAGGCCUUCGGGUUGUAAAGCACUUUCAGCGGGGAGGAAGGCGAUAAGGUUAAUAACCUUGUCGAUUGACGUUACCCGCAGAAGAAGCACCGGCUAACUCCGUGCCAGCAGCCGCGGUAAUACGGAGGGUGCAAGCGUUAAUCGGAAUUACUGGGCGUAAAGCGCACGCAGGCGGUCUGUCAAGUCGGAUGUGAAAUCCCCGGGCUCAACCUGGGAACUGCAUUCGAAACUGGCAGGCUAGAGUCUUGUAGAGGGGGGUAGAAUUCCAGGUGUAGCGGUGAAAUGCGUAGAGAUCUGGAGGAAUACCGGUGGCGAAGGCGGCCCCCUGGACAAAGACUGACGCUCAGGUGCGAAAGCGUGGGGAGCAAACAGGAUUAGAUACCCUGGUAGUCCACGCCGUAAACGAUGUCGAUUUGGAGGUUGUGCCCUUGAGGCGUGGCUUCCGGAGCUAACGCGUUAAAUCGACCGCCUGGGGAGUACGGCCGCAAGGUUAAAACUCAAAUGAAUUGACGGGGGCCCGCACAAGCGGUGGAGCAUGUGGUUUAAUUCGAUGCAACGCGAAGAACCUUACCUGGUCUUGACAUCCACAGAACUUUCCAGAGAUGCAUUGGUGCCUUCGGGAACUGUGAGACAGGUGCUGCAUGGCUGUCGUCAGCUCGUGUUGUGAAAUGUUGGGUUAAGUCCCGCAACGAGCGCAACCCUUAUCCUUUGUUGCCAGCGGUUAGGCCGGGAACUCAAAGGAGACUGCCAGUGAUAAACUGGAGGAAGGUGGGGAUGACGUCAAGUCAUCAUGGCCCUUACGACCAGGGCUACACACGUGCUACAAUGGCAUAUACAAAGAGAAGCGACCUCGCGAGAGCAAGCGGACCUCAUAAAGUAUGUCGUAGUCCGGAUUGGAGUCUGCAACUCGACUCCAUGAAGUCGGAAUCGCUAGUAAUCGUAGAUCAGAAUGCUACGGUGAAUACGUUCCCGGGCCUUGUACACACCGCCCGUCACACCAUGGGAGUGGGUUGCAAAAGAAGUAGGUAGCUUAACCUUCGGGAGGGCGC